Long non-coding RNA from Myxocyprinus asiaticus (Chinese sucker), 1710 nucleotides. RefSeq lists it as uncharacterized. The transcript is spliced from 3 exons. Lineage: Eukaryota; Metazoa; Chordata; Actinopteri; Cypriniformes; Catostomidae. The record is from RefSeq and is a predicted model, not a curated record.
GUGGAAUAUAUGUAAAUAAAGCGAAGCAACAAAGAGAAAAAUAGCAAAGUCUUUCUCAGAUUGAUUUCUCAGUUUGUUAUUUACACAAGCAUCAGAGGGAUAUUACGUUGCUAUGGAGAACGCUGCUUUCUCACCAAGCCACAUGUAUUUACCCUAUGCGCCAGAGAAAUUAGCGCGCAUCCAUCUUGAAAAUGUUGUCUCUGAACUUACGUUCUAGCGGUUGCUAUAUAGACAUCUAUGGUGUUGAUGUCAAAGUAUAGUUAACAAGCGAAGUGGAUUUACAGGUAAUAGAGUUAUCAUGAGUAUUUUAAAGUGUUCUGGGGAUGAACUGGAAGCAGAGCGGGGAGAUUUUAAAACGAGUACUUCAUAAAGCCACAAUAUUCUACCUUCAAGCUGUGGACGUAUUGAUAUUCUUCUGUGCACAUGAAACUCCAAGAGACGACACACAGUCAUUAAAAAUAUCUCUGUGCGACACCUCUGUCCAUCUUCUCGUGUCAUUCACCAAUCGCGUUAUAGUUAAGUUAAAAUGAAGAGAAAAACCCAAAAGGACAUAAUGUCCUUUUUUAGUUAGAAAAAUAAAGACAAUGGCCAGUCAAGGCUGGAGAGAGAAGAUGAUUGUGAAAAAGAGGCAGAAACACACGAAAGCUUAGAGAAAGAUGAAACUCCUGAAGAACAGAGAGACCAUCAGCAAGAUGAUUUAGAUGUGGAGAGAGUCAGCAGGCCUGGAGACAGAGAGCAGGCAGACAACUAUCUGGAGAGUGAGAGCACUGAACAUGAAGAGCAAGAAGAGAAAAGAGAUGAAGCCAUUGACAGUGAGGCUGAGUGUGACUUUGAGACAGAAUGUGAGCAAGAGGAGCCCUGCCAUCUACAAGCACUCCAUCUGAACCAUCAGAUAUUUCCAAGUGUAGAGAUGAUCCACCAGCACAACCACUCUUUUGAGCAUUUCCAAAGACACAGAUGAGGAACAGGAGAAGGAGCGUCAAAGCAGAAUGGUUAAAGAUUCAUCCCUGGCUUAAGUAUUCCAGAAUAUCUGACACUGCAUAUUGUUAUGCCUGCCGACAUUUUAGCCCUCCCAACAGACCAAAGUCAGUUUUUGAUAUUCCAUCUGGUUUUAAAAACUGGAAGAAGGCAACCUACAAGGAAGGGGGAUUUGCAAUUCAUGCCAGGUCAGAGCAACAAUUGUUGCAUUGAAAGACUAUGAGACAGCAGCAAAAAGCAACAGAACAUUGCUAAAUGUCUUAAAGAACAAAAAAAUAAAAAUAAUAUGAAAACUAUAGCUGAAGUUCUCUUACUUACUGCCACACAGAACAUUGCUCAGAGAAGACAUGAUGAGUCGGUAGAGUCGGACAACAGGGGUAACUUUAUGCCGAUUUUAGAAACAAUUGCCAAACAUGACAAAAGUAAAAAAUAGGUUACAUUCCAUCCAUAAUGCCAAAUACACCAGCAAAGCUAUUCAGAAUGAGGUUUUGACUUGUUUGGCAGACAUGGUUAGAACAAAAAUAUCUGAAGAAGUUAAACAGAGUGAAGUCUUCAGUAUUAUGGAUGUUGAAACUCAAGACAUUAAAAAAAUAACAGAUAUCCUUAGUGCUCAGGUACAAUUACAGUGGAGCCGUCGAUGAGAGUUUUCUCCACUUUGAAGCUUACUGAAAAGAUUAUCCACAUGUUAGAAAGCCAUGGUCUAGAAUACAGGGAGAAUUUACUAGGCCAAAC